AUGCCGCGGUGAAUACGUUCCCGGGUCUUGUACACACCGCCCGUCACACCACGAGAGUUUACAACACCCGAAGUCGGUGAGGUAACCGCAAGGGGCCAGCCGCCGAAGGUGGGGUAGAUGAUUGGGGUGAAGUCGUAACAAGGUAGCCGUAUCGGAAGGUGCGGCUGGAUCACCUCCUUUCU
This 182-nucleotide ribosomal RNA is filed under the name Paenibacillus larvae. RNAcentral's name for it is "partial 16S ribosomal RNA". It matches the Rfam family "Bacterial small subunit ribosomal RNA", at positions 1354 to 1533 of the family's 1533-position model. The record is from RNAcentral. RNAcentral also lists the same sequence under 2 other names. Lineage: Bacteria; Bacillati; Bacillota; Bacilli; Caryophanales; Paenibacillaceae.